GUGAUCAAUGAAGGCCCUUAGAAUUCCGAAUUGAUGAUUGCAUCUUUUUGAAGGUGUCAUCAAUGAGGAAUAUCUUGCACUUCCGCAAGGAGGGAAAGCUGAGACCAAGGUACGUAGGUUCCUUAGGGAUUCUAGAGACAGAAUCAGGAUCCUAACGUAUUGUCUUGCAUUGUCGCCAAAGUGGGUGUAAGUGCAUGGCAUCUUUUCACGUGUUGAUGUCGAGGACAUAUGAGCCUGACUCGACCCACGUGCUAAAUCUUAAAAGAAUUAGGCGUGGAUGACAGAGUGUCGUACGUGGAAAGUUGGUUCAGUUAUUGGUUCAAAAAGAUCAGAUUCUAUCUGCCAAGAUGGUCUCCUUCUUUAAAGUGGUCCGACAACGCCACAAGACCGAAGAGACAGCGUGGAAAAGUGAGACUCGAUGAGACGACAGCACCCCACCUUUUGUUUAAGGAUUAGAAAAGGUUUAAAUUUCGAGGACGAAAUUUUUAUAAGAGGGGAAGAGUUGUGACAUCCUGAUUUUCAGGUUCUGAUUUCAAUCGGAUAAGUUGGGCCUUUCAUCAACGUAACUAUAGUGUUCAUCUCUGAGAUGGCCACUCAUGAGAUAACUGACCUAUC
This 615-nucleotide long non-coding RNA is filed under the name Eucalyptus grandis. Its description in RNAcentral is "long non-coding RNA (EGRA_LNC006035)". Lineage: Eukaryota; Viridiplantae; Streptophyta; Magnoliopsida; Myrtales; Myrtaceae. The record is from RNAcentral.